This 638-nucleotide long non-coding RNA is filed under the name Sus scrofa (pig). Its description in RNAcentral is "lncRNA (ENSSSCG00035067202.1)". Lineage: Eukaryota; Metazoa; Chordata; Mammalia; Artiodactyla; Suidae. The record is from RNAcentral.
GAUUCCAGCUGCCUGAAUCAGACCCCCUGCUUGGGCACAGAAUCAUCAACCUGCUGCGCAUUAACCUCCCAAACCGCACUUGGACAUGGUAGUCUUAGGGGACCGGGGAUGCCUUGUAAUGCUGGACUCUGCUCUACAAAGAUCACAUAGCUGGGGAUGGAGAGGGAUGUGAGCCUGCGAAACCGAACAGUGCCAUCGCCUGACGCCAACGCUGCUGCCUCUGCUCCCUCCUCUGCUCCAGUCCACCUGGUUCCUGCUGCCCGGUAACUCUGGAUGGUCUCAGUUCGGGGAUUCCCUGCUCUACUCUUCCUGAGCUGAGCUGGGCUCCAGUCUUGUCCCCGCAGCAGACGUGCUUAGGUCCGUGUUGGGAUUUUGGAGCUCUCCAGGCACUUCAGGGAGAGGAGGAUGCAGGAAUAGCUUUGAGCAGAAGAAACUUUCAUGGAUCCCAUCUCCUCUUACCUACAAGGAUCGCUGGAAAUGGGGUCGGGACCUGGGACAGUGCAAAUGGGUGGCAAAUAGGUGCAAUGACUGAGGGGAAAGUAGCUAUUAAACGCAAGCCCCAGUUGAAGGUUCUGGGAACUCCCCCUCCCGCACCGCCACCCCAUUUAAUCUUGGGUCCCAAUUUAAGGCUGUACCAG